This 732-nucleotide ribosomal RNA is filed under the name uncultured Providencia sp. RNAcentral describes it as "bacterial SSU rRNA". It matches the Rfam family "Bacterial small subunit ribosomal RNA", at positions 769 to 1502 of the family's 1533-position model. Lineage: Bacteria; Pseudomonadati; Pseudomonadota; Gammaproteobacteria; Enterobacterales; Morganellaceae. The record is from RNAcentral.
CAAACAGGAUUAGAUACCUGGUAGUCACGCUGUAAACGAUGUCGAUUUGGAGGUUGUUGCAUUGAGGAGUGGCUUCCGGAGCUAACGCGUUAAAUCGACCGCCUGGGGAGUACGGCCGCAAGGUUAAAACUCAAAUGAAUUGACGGGGGCCCGCACAAGCGGUGGAGCAUGUGGUUUAAUUCGAUGCAACGCGAAGAACCUUACCUACUCUUGACAUCCAGAGAAUUUAGCAGAGAUGCUUUAGUGCCUUCGGGAACUCUGAGACAGGUGCUGCAUGGCUGUCGUCAGCUCGUGUUGUGAAAUGUUGGGUUAAGUCCCGCAACGAGCGCAACCCUUAUCCUUUGUUGCCAGCACGUUAUGGUGGGAACUCAAAGGAGACUGCCGGUGAUAAACCGGAGGAAGGUGGGGAUGACGUCAAGUCAUCAUGGCCCUUACGAGUAGGGCUACACACGUGCUACAAUGGCGUAUACAAAGAGAAGCGACCUCGCGAGAGCAAGCGGAACUCAUAAAGUACGUCGUAGUCCGGAUUGGAGUCUGCAACUCGACUCCAUGAAGUCGGAAUCGCUAGUAAUCGUAGAUCAGAAUGCUACGGUGAAUACGUUCCCGGGCCUUGUACACACCGCCCGUCACACCAUGGGAGUGGGUUGCAAAAGAAGUAGGUAGCUUAACCUUCGGGAGGGCGCUUACCACUUUGUGAUUCAUGACUGGGGUGAAGUCGUAACAAGGUAACCA